CGAAUUAGCUGCCUCAUCUUCAACUUAAAGGUAAAUUUUGGUGGAAUUUGAGUUGAAAUUGAGUGAGUUUGAGUGGGAAGAUGAGGUUUUGAGAGAAAGAAAAAGGGUGUUUGGUUGGCAAGAAAGUGAGAGAAAAUUUUUGGAUUUGGAAAGGGAUGGGUUCUUUGUUUUUACUUCUUUAUUGUUCUUUAUUGAGUAGAUGUUGACGGUACAAGCAUUAUAAUUAAGAUUUUCAACGGCAAAUAUAGAGAAAUAGAAGCAAACUUUGAUUUAGAGUAUGCAACAGCAUUUUUUGGUACUUUUCUUAGUUUUUUGUGGGGAAGCAUUAGAUACUAAUUAAGGUUUGUGGUCUGAACAGUAGCUAAAACCUUAACCAUAGUUUGAGGUUUCUUUUCUGGAACCAUUCAUGGUAAUUUCAGGCAGAGAUUGUGCAUCAUAUGCAGCAUGUCCGUGUCUCUUCAAUAGAAAGCUUUCAAGUUUGCAGUCUUACAAUGUAAUGAUUUGGUAAAGCAUUACAAUUUGUAGAUGUUCUGUCAUUUUUUGCACUCCUAUAUUUUCCUUAAUUAAUUAAUGGAAAAACUUGAGGUUCGCACUGCUCUAACAUUUGCUCUAUUUGCUCAUAAGCAUGUUGAUAUUGCAAUAUCCAGGUGAUAUGUAAUUUUCACCUUAUUUUUUUAUUUCAGCAUUUUUCUGGGUACUAUUUCAUACACACAAGGGCUUGCACUCAUGCUUUUUUAUCCUUCGAUAAACUUUGUAUCCAAAUAUCCUUUUCUUACCCAAUUAAAGAAGAGAGCAUGCUAAUGAUAAGUUUGCUUGCUUUUGAUGUAACAGGCCAUGCUGGUAGUGCCCAGGAUGCAGUAAAUAUUAUUUCUAGUUGAUAUAAUGGAUUGAGUAUGCAUUCAUUUCAGUUGUUUCAUGAAGAUAGAGUGAAUUCUAUUAAAUUGGCUCUUCCCUUGUUUUUUUAUAUUUAUUUUAAGGUAUUAUUAUGAAGAUUCUAUUAAACUUUAUUUUCAUUCGUUUUCUUUUACGAAAUUAAAAAUUAUACCCAAUUGGAAUUAUACACUACUCGUCCUUGAGAGAAUUAUGUAGACAGACAAAAGAAUAAAAGAAAUUUAGAGAAACUCAUGUGUUAGGAAGAGCUAGCCUAGGGAUGAAAGAAUUAUG
Molecule: long non-coding RNA, 1164 nt
Filed under: Citrus x clementina
Lineage: Eukaryota; Viridiplantae; Streptophyta; Magnoliopsida; Sapindales; Rutaceae
Description: Citrus clementina (C. clementina) long non-coding RNA (CCLE_LNC000983)
Source: RNAcentral